UAGAUAGCUUAGUCGGUAGAGAAUGAGACUCUUAAUCUCAGGGUUGUGGGUUCGAGACCCACAUUGGGCAAAA
This 73-nucleotide transfer RNA is filed under the name Podarcis lilfordi (Lilford's wall lizard). Its description in RNAcentral is "tRNA.Lys". It matches the Rfam family "tRNA". Rfam says of the family: Transfer RNA (tRNA) molecules are approximately 80 nucleotides in length. Their secondary structure includes four short double-helical elements and three loops (D, anti-codon, and T loops). Further hydrogen bonds mediate the characteristic L-shaped molecular structure. tRNAs have two regions of fundamental functional importance: the anti-codon, which is responsible for specific mRNA codon recognition, and the 3' end, to which the tRNAs corresponding amino acid is attached (by aminoacyl-tRNA synthetases). tRNAs cope with the degeneracy of the genetic code in two manners: having more than one tRNA (with a specific anti-codon) for a particular amino acid; and 'wobble' base-pairing, i.e. permitting non-standard base-pairing at the 3rd anti-codon position. Lineage: Eukaryota; Metazoa; Chordata; Lepidosauria; Squamata; Lacertidae. The record is from RNAcentral.